GUCUGGUUGCGUAGCGGUUAACGCGCCGCCAGAUCUGUGGGAUGGAGCCACAUGUAUACUUGGUGGAGAGUCCUGUUCGACUCAGGGACCAGACG
This is a non-coding RNA of Lyophyllum atratum, 95 nucleotides long. Lineage: Eukaryota; Fungi; Basidiomycota; Agaricomycetes; Agaricales; Lyophyllaceae. The record is from the annotation of a GenBank genome assembly.